ACCAGCUCGAACUCGUAAGGGGGGUUUGUGAUAACAUAUCUGCAAGGAGACCAGAAAACAGGACACGUUAGGAUUUACUCAGUUCCCUGGUAAGGUGGCAAAGGGUCUUUUCUAUAACACUGCUGUUACUCUCUGCAUCCUGAUCAUGGCAGUUGAGAGCUUUGUGAGCCUACAUUUUAUCGGCUGCAUUAUUCCCCUAUUCGUACUUCACAAAUAGGGGAGUAGAGGUUAUAAAGCUAUUAGCUGACACUGAAUGUCAGUGAAAAAUGGAGUAAGCUCUUUUCUCUUUGCUUAGGACAUUUAAUAUUUAUGAUAUGGGAAAAAUAGAAAAAGCUAUGAUGUACAAAGUGGGGAACCAUGUUCUUUUAACAAAACUGUCCGUUAGAAUGUGUUUUAUAUAAUUUGUGAGGUUUUCUUGCUUACAGUGGCAAAUAAAAACAGGUACCCCUACCGUUUUUAAGAUUAUGGUACUUAGAAUAUGAACUGGAUAAUGAAAGCAAAAAGAAAGCAGAUUUGAAAUUUUAGAAUUUCAGUUAAAUUCUCAGAUUUUAACUAGAAAUGACACAUCUUACUCAGUGUAACCAGGUCUCUUACAUCAGUGAGACCUGGUUCUUUACUAAUGAAUAGCAAGAAAUAUAAAAGGAUCAUAGAUUAGAAAACUGGGAAAAAAUGUUUAAACAGUGUGGAGAAUCAAAAUAUUGAGUAUCUGUGCAAUUAACCAGUGAACAGCAGUCCUACUACUUCUAAUAAUGAGCAUGAUACAAAAUGUUAAAAUAUUUCAAUUCCUGAAUCCCUCUCCUCGGAUACAUCAUAAACUGCAAAGCAGUUCAUUUGCAUCUUUUGUGCAAUGAAAUUAAUGUACAGGACAUCCAUUGUAGAUACAUCCUUACUGAAACUGGACAUAGAGAUUUACGAUUUUUGUUGUAAAUGUUUUUCAGAGCUACCAGUAGUGGCAAGAAAAAAAAUACAAUUUACCUAAUGGAACAUUUUGUCAAAAGUGUUUUAAGUUUAGUUUUGAUUAAGCACAUUAUUUAGUACCACAGCAACUUUCACUUAACAUUUUCAAAGUGUAUCUUUUUUAAAUGUCUUAAAUAUGUAGUUUUUACUUGUGUCCUCUCGUCCAUUCUGAAUAAGUCAGCAAGAUGGAGUUUAUUAAUGCCCUUGAGGAUUUCGAAUACUUGAAUGAAGUCCCCUCAAGGUCUUCGGUCUCAAAAGAAUAAAGAGGUUCAGUUCCUUCAGCCUGUCAGUAUGGGCACAUUAGCAAUUCUCCACUCCCUGAGUUCUACCCCUGUCUUGAGCGAGUGCUGGAAGAGUGGUGUCCCUGGUUUGUGAAUAACAUCUUGUUUGAAUAUAAUUGGAGUAUGGCAAAACUACUAUUCAUUAGUCAAGCGUGAGGAGCGUGUCUGAAGGUAGUGAGAAUGGAAGAGAGAGAAAUACCCAAAGGAAUCAUUUCAUGGAAGUGGAGUAUUGAUGUUUUGUACAGCAUGUAAUGUUCCUAUAGACUGCUUGAAACAGCUGUUGUGAGAAACCAAAACUGGAAAACAUGCUGAGCGAGUUACCAAAAAGUCCAAAAAAUCAUGUGUCAUAGGUGCUGCUUUCUGUGCUGCAAACACUCCACUACAAGGCCUGGGCAACCCUGCUAUGAAAAUUCGAAAAGGUUCUUGAAAACCACUAAGACUGCAAACUUUGAACCACACUGUAGUUCUGAGGCAUGAAAUUCCUUCCUGCAGAUAUCAUAUCCUGUCUCCGUUCUACAGUACCUCACAAGUCUCAAAUCGCUAUUCUGAACACUGUGCACAUCGCAUGUGCUGAACACCUUCUCAGCUAAGUGAGCGAGAUGGGGAGAAAAGCAUCUGCAAACAUCAAUAAACUUGUCUUUGCCGUAGAACAUGCAUUCACUGCUUGCAAAAUGCGGUUUUGUCAAACGUUACAGGAAAAGGGAGAAGUGCCUGCAUUUUUUCCUUCACCAGUAAUCCCAGUGGAGCUGCCGUCCUCUUUCAUUCCAUCCACCUGGCGGAUUUAGUGGGAUGUCUUGGGGAGGAAUGUGAUCGAAGCCGUAGUUCAUCUUUAGAAGACGUGAUCAUUUUAAAUAAACCCAUCAGCUUAUGAAAUGCCAGGAAUCAGAUCAGGUGAGGUGGCACAAGGACUUGCCUGAUCUUUCCAACUCAAAGCCCUUUGUGAAAACAGCAAUAAAACUGUAACCUACAUGAGUGGCUCUGAAUAUCUUUGUCAACCUGCUACCAGUUUUUUUUUUUUUUUAAAGCCUGCUGUGUGUGUUUGAUUCCAGUCAGGAAGAACAUCUUGAACUUUCAGCGAUAAGUGUAUUUGAGUCUAUUGCCAUGCGUGAUGGCAAUAUGUUGGCAAAAGUCAAGUUUCUGAAGUGCCCUGACAUUGUGGAAUUUUGAUUUGGUUCUAAAGAUUGCUUUCCAAAUAAAUUCCCAUUAACAGUGCAAGAGAUCGCUUUCACCUCACAGAUGUUUUGUGAGAUGGCAGAUGCUCAAUCAACAGUGACAGCCUGCUGAUGUACAGUACAACCUGCCAUUCCAGAAUCACAGAAUAUUGUAACUUAGUAAAUGCAUAUUUUACAUGGUGACAACAGGUGACGUGAAACCUUUUGCUCCGUUGUUAUUAAAACUGAAUUUACAUUUACAUUCCUGGGACUUGUCUGGGAAUUCUUUAUUGUCUGUGUCUUGACCAUAAGUUUUACUAAAAAUACCCAUAACAAAAUCAAAAGAAAGUAAAAAAGGUCAUGAAUGAGAGGAGAUGGCCCUUUGGCAUUCGUUGCUAUUAGCAAUUGAAAGCAUAGGUAUUAGCUUUAAUAACAUGGCUGGGUAACUUGUGCCAUACCCUCCAAAACACUUUGUAUAAUGAACAAAGUUCUCUGUUUUUAAUGCUUUCCACAUUUCAAUUUUUUUUUCACCCUGGGCUCAUGUUUCACUGUUUGUUCUGAAGAAGAUUAGUAGGUUACCUUUUGUCAAAGUCUCUGCAUAUUUUACAAACUUGAACCAAGUCCCCUUAUAGUUCUUUUAGCUUGUCUGAGAAGGACAUUCCCUGUCUUUGAAUCUGUCUGGUUGUUUUUCUCUCGCCUUUCCAGGGCAGCCGUGAUUUUAUAAAUAAUAACGUGAUGGAAAGUCUGACAUUAUCAUAAUCGCCACUGUCAAGGAAUUCUCCUAUUAAAUAAGCACUAAAGCUUCUGACCUUCAGGGGAAAACAAGACCUCCUUUUGUUUCGUGUAAGGUUGUCCCAGCAAAGUGUUUUUCUAGUGUUGUCCAACUUGCUGCGUGAACCACAUGUAGCAUCUUUUUUCACAGCCUUAUCUUUGAACAAAACCUUCAUUCUCACGUGCAUUGCAAGGAGAUACACCAGAAUAACAAAAUAAAGAUAAAAUAUAGAUGCAGCAAUAAUGCUUGUGAUUGUCUGCCAACAUGUUUUCCUUAUAACUUCUGGUUAUAAAACUAGAGUCCAAAAUAGUUGCAGCCUAUUUGUUUUACAGUCAAAAUGAAAACACAAAUUUGUUUGAAGUCUGAUGUCUGGCUUGGACUUUCUGCUA
Lepisosteus oculatus (spotted gar) is the source of this 3550-nucleotide non-coding RNA. The record is from RefSeq and is a predicted model, not a curated record. NCBI's taxonomy places the organism in Eukaryota, Metazoa, Chordata, Actinopteri, Semionotiformes, Lepisosteidae.